RNAcentral lists this ribosomal RNA (209 nucleotides) under uncultured bacterium. RNAcentral describes it as "partial 16S ribosomal RNA". It matches the Rfam family "Bacterial small subunit ribosomal RNA", at positions 523 to 724 of the family's 1533-position model. The record is from RNAcentral.
UAACGAAGGGGGCUAGCGUUUGCUCGGAUUGACUGGGCGUAAAGGGCGCGUAGGCGGUUCGUACAGUCAGACGUGAAAUUCCUGGGCUCAACCUGGGGGCUGCGUUUGAUACGUGCGGACUUGAGUGCGGAAGAGGGUCGUGGAAUUCCCAGUGUAGAGGUGAAAAUUCGUAGAUAGUUGGGGAAGAACGACCGGGUGGCGAAGGCGGG